UUUUUUUUUUUUGAGUGCACUCUAAUCUAAUACCAGUUGCUUCUCUGCCUGCUAUAGAAGCAACGUCAGCAUUACUUACUGAGCAUGCGUAUGCAACAGCCCUUUUCUAUGUACCAGAGAACAGAACCACAGACACAAAUGAGCUACCACCAUUACCUUGAGAGUUCAUCAUGUACCCUCAGAGACUCAUGUGUAGGCAAUUAAUGCUAAUACCAACAAGAAUGAAAUAUGUACCUUAAAAGAUAAUAUAAACAAAGGAAAGAAUUACUAACCCCAACUGUAGAGAUUUUGGGAAAGGGUCCCAGUGUCUUAUACAAGAUGGCAUUUAAAUUUUGACUGAGAAAUAGGAUUUUUUUAUUGGUAAAGAAAUGGGAAAAGCAUACCCAGGUAAGAAACAGCACAUUAAAGACAGCAGAAAGGCAGUAGCUACACUUGGUCUUUUCUAUGGAGAAUUUCUGCAGUGCUGGUGCUCCUGUAAGUCUCUGGUUAGAAUGGAAAUACCUUUCCCUUCUUUUGAUAGCACAAAGAAUAGGAGUUAUUCCACAGAAUGACUUGGAACCUUAGUCAUGGUGUUUUUUCAGCUUUAUUACUCACCUACCUGUGAUAAAGGCCUCCCCCAGCAAAGUGUCUUGAAUCACUAAAAGUUUGUCUCUCCUUUCUAGGGCUCAUAGUUAACACAGGGGUCAGAGACCAAGCAAGUUCAAGAGUAGCACCCCAAACCAUUGUUUCUUCAGAAAUUAUCAAGCCCAUCCCACCAGAUUUAUGACAAACCUACGGUGUUCUUCCCCCUUCAGAGACCUCUUUGUCUCUCUCUGCUGUCUGCCUUCUGUCAAGAGAUUUCCGGUGUUUAGACAUCUUAAUACAUGUCAGAACUCCAAAUGUAGAAAGGAUUCAAGUUUCCUUGUAAGGGUAUCCUAGACCCUGAGCAAAUAGAAACCAUUUACAGAGCCAUCUGGAGCUGGCUCAUACUAGCUUGCAAGAGCCAAUUGUUAAAUUUUCAGGAAUUUUGCAAACUGGUUGAUACCAUACUGGUAGCUUGAAAUUGGCCAUGGUUGGAGUAUUUAUGUCACAGAGACUGGUAAAGGCUACAAAGUAGGACUCUUAUUUUCAGGGAGCUUAUUGUUAGAUUCUUGCCAGCACUGCACCAAGUAUUUAGCUCUAAAGAGCCCUCAAACUUUUCACACCAGUUAGCCAAAAGCACCUAAGUGAUUUUCAGAGGAUUACCAUCUUACUCCAAGUGCAUGGAAUGUUGGUGUCUCGAAGAGUGUUGAGAGAUAUAUAUCAACAAUGGUGCUGAUCAAACACCCACUGUCAAGAGUUCAAUGUGCUGUAGGAAAAGAAGUGCUGGAGUUUAGUUUCUAAGUGUGCUGCCUCUAAUCUUUACUAACUGGGAUUUGAAGAAAGUUAUUUAAGUCUCUGCGUUGUUUUUUUUUUUCCUCACCUGCAAAGUGGGGACCAUAAUACUUAUGUAACAGAGUUACAGUAAAGAUUAAAUAAAAUAAUAUUUGAAGGUACUUAGAGCAAUGUACAGAACAGAGUAAGUACCCAAUAGAUGAUGACAAUGAGGAUAGACAACUAGGUUCAAAUGCUGGCACUGCUACUUUUCAGUUUGUACCAUCUUGUUAAACUUAUUUCACUUCUCUGAGCCUCGAUAUUUUUCUUAUAAAGAAUUGGGAACGGGGUGCACCGUCUUCCGCCGCAUGUGGAUUCAGCGCGAUGCCCAAAUCCAAGCGUGACAAGAAAGUCUCCUUAACCAAAACUGCCAAGAAAGGCUUGGAGUUGAAACAAAACCUGAUAGAAGAGCUUCGGAAAUGUGUGGACACCUACAAGUACCUUUUCAUCUUCUCUGUGGCCAACAUGAGGAACAGCAAGCUGAAGGACAUCCGGAACGCCUGGAAGCACAGCCGGAUGUUCUUUGGCAAAAACAAGGUGAUGAUGGUGGCCUUGGGUUGGAGCCCAUCUGAUGAGUACAAAGACAACCUGCACCAGGUCAGCAAAAGGUUGAGGGGUGAAGUGGGUCUCCUGUUCACCAACCGCACAAAGGAGGAAGUGAAUGAGUGGUUCACAAAAUACACAGAAAUGGACUACGCCCGCGCUGGUAACAAAGCAGCAUUCACUGUGAGCCUGGACCCGGGGCCCCUGGAGCAGUUUCCCCACUCCAUGGAGCCACAGCUCAGGCAGCUGGGCCUGCCCACCACCCUCAAGAGAGGUGUGGUGACUCUGCUAUCCGACUUUGAGGUGUGCAAGGAGGGCGAUGUGCUGACCCCAGAGUAGGCUCGCGUCCUGAAGCGUUUUGGGGAUGAGAUGGCUGAAUUCAAGGUGACCAUCAAAUACAUGUGGGAUUCACAGUCGGGAAGGUUCCAGCAGAUGGGAGACGACUUGCCGGAGAGCGCAUUCCGAGGUCCGCAGAAAGAGUCAGACUCAGAAGAGCGAUGA
Cercocebus atys (sooty mangabey) is the source of this 2436-nucleotide RNA transcript. It is a transcript of the gene named mRNA turnover protein 4 homolog pseudogene, with no coding region annotated. The transcript has a single exon. NCBI's taxonomy places the organism in Eukaryota, Metazoa, Chordata, Mammalia, Primates, Cercopithecidae. The record is from RefSeq and is a predicted model, not a curated record.